GGACGAACGCUGGCGGCGUGCCUAACACAUGCAAGUCGAGCGAGGAGAUCCUUCGGGAUGAUCCUAGCGGCGGACGGGUGAGUAACACGUGGGCAACCUGCCUCAUAGAGAGGAAUAGCCUUCCGAAAGGGAGAUUAAUACCUCAUAACAUUGCAGUUUCGCAUGAAACAGCAAUUAAAGGAGCAAUCCGCUAUGAGAUGGGCCCGCGGCGCAUUAGCUAGUUGGUGAGGUAACGGCUCACCAAGGCGACGAUGCGUAGCCGACCUGAGAGGGUGAUCGGCCACAUUGGGACUGAGACACGGCCCAGACUCCUACGGGAGGCAGCAGUGGGGAAUAUUGCACAAUGGGGGAAACCCUGAUGCAGCAACGCCCGCGUGAGUGAUGACAGUCUUCGGAUUGUAAAGCUCUGUCUUCAGGGACGAUAAUGACGGUACCUGAGGAGGAAGCCACGGCUAACUACGUGCCAGCAGCAGC
RNAcentral lists this ribosomal RNA (474 nucleotides) under uncultured bacterium. Its description in RNAcentral is "bacterial SSU rRNA". It matches the Rfam family "Bacterial small subunit ribosomal RNA", at positions 27 to 518 of the family's 1533-position model. The record is from RNAcentral.